This 538-nucleotide ribosomal RNA is filed under the name Didymella glomerata. Its description in RNAcentral is "eukaryotic LSU rRNA". The stretch from base 166 to 319 matches the Rfam family "5.8S ribosomal RNA". Lineage: Eukaryota; Fungi; Ascomycota; Dothideomycetes; Pleosporales; Didymellaceae. The record is from RNAcentral.
CCGCAGCGACUGCGGAGAGACAUUACCUAGAGUUGCGGGCUUUGCCUGCCAUCUCUUACCCAUGUCUUUUGAGUACCUUACGUUUCCUCGGCGGGUCCGCCCGCCGACUGGACAAUUUAAACCACUUGCAGUUGCAAUCAGCGUCUGAAAAAACUUAAUAGUUACAACUUUCAACAACGGAUCUCUUGGUUCUGGCAUCGAUGAAGAACGCAGCGAAAUGCGAUAAGUAGUGUGAAUUGCAGAAUUCAGUGAAUCAUCGAAUCUUUGAACGCACAUUGCGCCCCUUGGUAUUCCAUGGGGCAUGCCUGUUCGAGCGUCAUUUGUACCUUCAAGCCUUGCUUGGUGUUGGGUGUUUGUCUCGCCUCUGCGCGUAGACUCGCCUCAAAACAAUUGGCAGCCGGCGUAUUGAUUUCGGAGCGCAGUACAUCUCGCGCUUUGCACUCAGAACGACGACGUCCAAAAGUACAUUUUUACACUCUUGACCUCGGAUCAGGUAGGGAUACCCGCUGAACUUAAGCAUAUCAAUAAGGCGGAGGAA